Molecule: ribosomal RNA, 393 nt
Filed under: uncultured bacterium
Lineage: Bacteria
Description: bacterial SSU rRNA
Rfam family: Bacterial small subunit ribosomal RNA
Source: RNAcentral
GUGCCAGCAGCCGCGGUAAUACGAAGGGGGCUAGCGUUGUUCGGAUUUACUGGGCGUAAAGCGCGUGUAGGCGGGUCGUUAAGUUGGGGGUGAAAUCCCGAGGCUCAACCUCGGAACUGCCUCCAAAACUGGCGACCUGGAGCAAAGAAGAGGCGAGUGGAAUUCCGAGUGUAGAGGUGAAAUUCGUAGAUAUUCGGAGGAACACCAGUGGCGAAGGCGACUCGCUGGUCUUUUGCUGACGCUGAGACGCGAAAGCGUGGGGAGCAAACAGGAUUAGAUACCCUGGUAGUCCACGCUGUAAACGAUGAGAGCUAGUUGUCGGCACGCAUGCGUGUCGGUGACGCAGCUAACGCAUUAAGCUCUCCGCCUGGGGAGUACGGCCGCAAGGUUAAA